Helicoverpa zea (corn earworm) is the source of this 369-nucleotide long non-coding RNA. RefSeq lists it as uncharacterized. Lineage: Eukaryota; Metazoa; Arthropoda; Insecta; Lepidoptera; Noctuidae. The transcript is spliced from 2 exons. The record is from RefSeq and is a predicted model, not a curated record.
UAAUCUAAAGCCUGAAAAAGGACAUAGAUUCCUUUUUACCCAGUUACGGCAAAUAGUUCCCAUAGGACGCAUGUGUAACCACAGGCAACUAAAGUAUAACAUAAUAUUACAUUCCAUAGUCGAUUACACCAUCAGAUCCGCUCACUAAUCUCAAAGGACCAGCUUAGAAAGAUGCAGGGCAUUGGGGGCAAUCAGCAGUAUUGUUUUGCCCAUAUAACUAGGUUGAGGAGGUGAGACGGGCAAUAAGGCAAUCGCUACAUUUAAUACUCUGAAUUCAGUUAAGACUGGAAGCUGACUAUAGUUCUUAAGAGGACAGAAGAUAAGGUAGAAUUUGUUUUCAACUGAUAUAAUAUAUAGUAGAACAUCCAA